ACGGAAGGCAGCAGUGGGGAAUAUUGGGCAAUGGGCGAAAGCCUGACCCAGCAACGCCGCGUGAAGGAAGAAGGUCUUCGGAUUGUAAACUUCUUUUAUAAGGGACGAAGAAAGUGACGGUACCUUAUGAAUAAGCCACGGCUAACUACGUGCCAGCAGCCGCGGUAAUACGUAGGUGGCAAGCGUUAUCCGGAUUUACUGGGUGUAAAGGGCGUGUAGCCGGGUCGGUAAGUCAGAUGUGAAAUCCACGGGCUUAACUCGUGAACUGCAUUUGAAACUGCUGAUCUUGAGUAUCGGAGAGGCAAUCGGAAUUCCUAGUGUAGCGGUGAAAUGCGUAGAUAUUGGGAGGAACACCAGUGGCGAAGGCGGAUUGCUGGACGACAACUGACGGUGAGGCGCGAAAGCGUGGGGAGCAAACAGGAUUAGAUACCCUGGUA
This 437-nucleotide ribosomal RNA is filed under the name uncultured Oscillospiraceae bacterium. RNAcentral's name for it is "bacterial SSU rRNA". It matches the Rfam family "Bacterial small subunit ribosomal RNA", at positions 341 to 792 of the family's 1533-position model. Lineage: Bacteria; Bacillati; Bacillota; Clostridia; Eubacteriales; Oscillospiraceae. The record is from RNAcentral.